GCGGCGCUCUGACCACCUCAGACCUGCUAAGUUUCCUUUUAUGGCAAACACAUUUUUCUUGAUGUAAAUCUUUGUAUGUGCUUCACUACUUUGAAGCUCUUCAUUACUUAUUACUUUAGGUUUGGUUUACAUCUUCAUGGCAUGUGUUUUAAGGUAUUGUACCCUCUUACAGUUGAGAAUACCUCUUCUAGUACUGGAGCCUUUAAUGAAGCCGUCUAAGGUACAGAGCAGACAGUAUCUCUUCAGGAAGCUAAGAUUCUUCAAGGUUUGCACCAAGCUGGAGAUUUUUUAUCAGUCUGUUGUUGAGAGCAUCAUCUCCUCUUCUGCCAUCAUCUGCUGGGGAAGCAGCAUCAGAACCAGGGACCUAAAAAGGCUCUACAACCUGAUAAAGAAGGCUGGUUCUGAGAACAACUGUGGAACCUCUGGAGAUGAUUAUGCAAAAAAGGAUUCUUCGUAGGAUCAAGAAAAUUAUGGACAACCUUGACUAUCCUCUUCAUGAAACAGUCUUGGGAAAGCAGAGCAUCUUCAGUCAGCAGCUUCUUCAGAUUCAGUGUGGUACAGACAGCUGCAGAAGAUCUUUCCUGCCAUCAACUUCUGUUAGACUGCCUCAUGGCAAUCUGCCCUUGGCUACUAUCCAGAAGCUUGCUAUCUUCACCUUCCUCAAUGUCCUCCAGAGGGAGCCAAUAGACUGUAGAGGAUGGACCUGCUGUACAUCUGGCACACCUGCGAUUCAUCCGGGCUCAUCAGUCAGAGGAUAAAAGGAGAUGUUGUCUAACCCUCGACUCCCGAGUGUUUCUUCUGAAGAAGUUCCUGGAUUCCUCUCUUCAAAUUUCUCUGGUCUUUACCUCCGGAUCACAUACCACAGCUGGCAACAUCCAACUCCUCUUCCUCAUACCUGCAAACCUGUCCGUCCUCCACCGGUUGUCCCUUUGGACAAUCUCAAGAUCUUCCCGACGCUAAGACUCUUCCCUACACAGGCCUGUUCCAGCCUCAGUCAGCCUUCUCCCCCCACAGAUUUUUUUUUCUGCGCCACCAUACCAUCCCAAACUCCUGGCUCCCCGGUCUCCCAGACUGAAGACUCUCAUUCAUAAUCACUUUUGUACAAUACACUUAUCUUUUAUCACCUACCUACUGAGUGUGUUCUGCAUGUGGGCAAAGAAACUACCCAAAACAUUGACAUAAAUGUUUUGACACAAAAUCAAACAUUGCUUAGAGCAACAUGUAACUCACAGGUUUGCAUAACAUUGAUCCUAUAUUGUAUUGUAUUAAAAGUAGAGAAAAAGAAAACACUACUUCAAAUGACUGACACAAAAAGAGAGCCAAGACCCCCCAUGUUGACUGCAGAGAAGCUCAGAUCAGAUGGGAGGAUCAGGAACACAGCAAACAUGGAAGAAGGUGCUCUCAUCAACUGAAACUAUUAACUGGACUUUUGGUCUUGUAAAGGCUAUGUGAGGCAGAAAUAAAGAAAAACCACCUGUGGGAGAAUCAUGCUGUACAGACGAGAUGGUCAUGAUGAUCAUGUCAGAGGCUACUAAAAACUGGGGCAGAGGUUCUUCUUCUACUAUUAUAAUGAUAGCAAGAAUUAAAAACAGAUGCUAUCCAUUCAAUCUGAGAUUUAGCAAAGAAGAAUGUCCAUCUUUUUAUAUAUCGGCAGAAAUCUUAACACCAGAACAGGAGCAUUUUUGGCUGACAAGUUCAAAAUUAAAAGAUUUUCUGUGUAGUGCAUGGAA
Long non-coding RNA from Gambusia affinis (western mosquitofish), 1730 nucleotides. RefSeq lists it as uncharacterized. The transcript has 4 exons. The record is from RefSeq and is a predicted model, not a curated record. Lineage: Eukaryota; Metazoa; Chordata; Actinopteri; Cyprinodontiformes; Poeciliidae.